This 513-nucleotide ribosomal RNA is filed under the name uncultured bacterium. RNAcentral describes it as "partial 16S ribosomal RNA". It matches the Rfam family "Bacterial small subunit ribosomal RNA", at positions 30 to 523 of the family's 1533-position model. The record is from RNAcentral.
AUUGAACGCUGGCGGCAUGCCUAACACAUGCAAGUCGAACGGCAGCACAGUAAAGAUUUCGGUCUUUAUGGGUGGCGAGUGGCGGACGGGUGAGUAAUGCGUAGGAAUCUGUCCUGGAGAGUGGGAUAACCCGAGGAAACUCGGGCUAAUACUGCAUGAUAUCGAGAGAUCAAAGGCAGGGGACCCUUCGGGGCCUUGCGCUCUAGGCUGAGCCUACGUCGGAUUAGCUAGUUGGUGGGGUAAAGGCCUACCAAGGCGACGAUCCGUAGCUGGUCUGAGAGGAUGACCAGCCACACUGGGACUGAGACACGGCCCAGACUCCUACGGGAGGCAGCAGUGGGGAAUCUUGGACAAUGGGGGAAACCCUGAUCCAGCGAUGCCGCGUGUGUGAAGAGGGCCUUCGGGUUGUAAAGCACUUUAGUUGGGGAAGAAAAGUAAUGAGUGAAUAACUGAUUGCUCUGACGGUACCCAAAGAAUAAGCACCGGCUAACUCUGUGCCAGCCGCCGCGGUAA